RNAcentral lists this ribosomal RNA (241 nucleotides) under Klebsiella pneumoniae. Its description in RNAcentral is "partial 16S ribosomal RNA". It matches the Rfam family "Bacterial small subunit ribosomal RNA", at positions 343 to 576 of the family's 1533-position model. Lineage: Bacteria; Pseudomonadati; Pseudomonadota; Gammaproteobacteria; Enterobacterales; Enterobacteriaceae. The record is from RNAcentral. RNAcentral also lists the same sequence under 1 other name.
GGGAGGCAGCAGUGGGGAAUAUUGCACAAUGGGCGCAAGCCUGAUGCAGCCAUGCCGCGUGUGUGAAGAAGGCCUUCGGGUUGUAAAGCACUUUCAGCGGGGAGGAAGGCGUUAAGGUUAAUAACCUCAUCGAUUGACGUUACCCGCAGAAGAAGCACCGGCUAACUCCGUGCCAGCAGCCGCGGUAAUACGGAGGGUGCAAGCGUUAAUCGGAAUUACUGGGCGUAAAGCGCACGCAGGC